GCCAGUCUGGUCUAGUGGUUAAGGCACCUGGCUAGAAACCAGGAGUUGGUGAGUUCUAGUCCUACCUUAGGUA
Molecule: transfer RNA, 73 nt
Filed under: Ophiophagus hannah (king cobra)
Lineage: Eukaryota; Metazoa; Chordata; Lepidosauria; Squamata; Elapidae
Rfam family: tRNA
About the family: Transfer RNA (tRNA) molecules are approximately 80 nucleotides in length. Their secondary structure includes four short double-helical elements and three loops (D, anti-codon, and T loops).
Source: Rfam by way of RNAcentral